CCGGCGAGGGCGGGGCCGUCGCUCUGUGGACCCGGGACUCUCUCAAGGAAAAGCUCCGGUGGGGAGGACACAGCCCAGAGUGUCCUCCGGCUUCACCGUACAGAGGCCAAACCGUGCCGCUUCCCACUUUCUCCAAAACUUAGGGAUGGUGAGGGAAGUUAGAACAGUGGUUUCCGCUGAGGCAUGCGGGCAUGUUCUAUGCGAAGGAGCGCGAGGAAUCCCAGCAUCUCCAAGAUGUAAGCCACAUUCUGUGACCCACCUAUUUCCUGUUCUUUGAAUGGUGGCUUUUGAGAACAGUGCCUAAGGGCUUUCCUUGUAGAGUGAAGCACUUACCUUGCUGAACUGAAUGUAUUAUUGGAGACUGUCCUCUGUCAAAGUGAAGCUCCUGAAUCAUUAGACUUGGCUUUACAAAUCAAAGAUGCAAAGAAAUCAUACAGUGCUCUUAUUAUAGGAGACCAUCGUGUCAAUUACUAAUUCUGUUGUUCCAGAACACCAUCCAAG
RNAcentral lists this long non-coding RNA (501 nucleotides) under Heterocephalus glaber (naked mole-rat). Its description in RNAcentral is "lncRNA (ENSHGLG00100034725.1)". Lineage: Eukaryota; Metazoa; Chordata; Mammalia; Rodentia; Bathyergidae. The record is from RNAcentral.